UCGCACGCCUUCCUUUCGCAGAACACUCAAAGAUUCGCGCACACCCUUUUCUCCUUUGUUGCCUGCCACUGCACUUCUUCCUCCUCAUUUUCCUCUUUCUCUCUCUCUCUUUCUCUCUCUCCAUCAGCCUCAGCACCACAGACACCGUUGUCGCCUUCCCUUCUUCUUUUGCCGUCGCCUUCCCUUAUUCCUCUGGUUGAAACCCUCAUCCAUGCACUUGAGAAAAUUGCCAAGUUGAAGAUUCCCCUGGUGAUUUGUGCAAAUUUGAACUCUAUGCCUCAGAGACAAUGUUGAGCUUGGUACAGCAUGUGGAAAGUACUUCCGGGUGUCUUGCCUUAGCAUCAUUGAUGCAGGUGAUUCGGAUGUUAUCAAGACACUGCCUGGUGGUCAGUGAAGGAGAGUAGGAUGAUCCUCUAUGUUGAGUGUAGUGUUUUGUUUUGAGACUUACCCUUUCUUUUCUCUUAAUGAAAUUCUCGAUUUUCUUUGAUAAUGUUGUGUUACUAAGUUUCCAAAUGCUUAGAUUCUACUAUAUGUGUAAGGUGAUAUUCGUUGUGACUUGAUGCAUGGCAUCUUGAGAUUCAUUAAAGUUAAUUUUGUUACAUUA
Molecule: long non-coding RNA, 604 nt
Organism: Pyrus x bretschneideri (Chinese white pear)
Lineage: Eukaryota; Viridiplantae; Streptophyta; Magnoliopsida; Rosales; Rosaceae
Exons: 4
Source: RefSeq, a predicted model, not a curated record